Molecule: ribosomal RNA, 515 nt
Filed under: uncultured bacterium
Lineage: Bacteria
Description: partial 16S ribosomal RNA
Rfam family: Bacterial small subunit ribosomal RNA
Source: RNAcentral
ACUCAAAUGAAUAGACGGGGACUCGCACAAGCAGUGGAUUAUGUGGUUUAAUUCGAUGGUAACCGAAGAACCUCACCAGGGUUAGAAAUUCAGGUGAAGAAUGCAGAAAUGCAAACGUGCGCAAGCACUCCUGAACAGGUGAUGCAUGGCCGUCGUCAGCUCGUGGCUUGAGCUGUUCCCUUAAGUGGGGAAACGAGCGCAACCCUCGUCGUGUGUUACAAGUGUCACACGAGACCGCCCGGCCCAAUGUAUAUGAACAGAUGUUCGUAUGUAUCGGGCCGGGAGGAAGGAGAGGAUGACGCCAGGUCAGCAUGUCCCUUUGAUACCCUGGGCUACACACAUAAUACAAUGGUCGCUACAAUAGGCUGCAAUACCGUAAGGUGGAGCCAAUCCUAAAAAGCGGCCUCAGUUCGGAUAGAGGUCUGCAACUCGACCUCUUGAAGUUGGAAUUGCUAGUAAUCGCAGGUCAGCAAACUGUGGUGAAUACGUUCUCGAGUCUUGUACACACCGCCCGU